UACAGAGGGGGCAAGCGUUGUUCGGAAUUACUGGGCGUAAAGGGCGCGUAGGCGGCCUGCUAAGUCGAACGUGAAAUCCCUGGGCUCAACCCAGGAACUGCGUUCGAUACUGGUUGGCUUGAAUUCGGGAGAGGGAUGCGGAAUUCCUGGUGUAGCGGUGAAAUGCGCAGAUAUCAGGAGGAACACCGAUUGCGAAGGCAGCUCGCUGGGACGUGACUGACGCUGAGACGCGAAAGCGUGGGGAGCAAACAGG
RNAcentral lists this ribosomal RNA (253 nucleotides) under uncultured bacterium. RNAcentral describes it as "partial 16S ribosomal RNA". It matches the Rfam family "Bacterial small subunit ribosomal RNA", at positions 524 to 776 of the family's 1533-position model. The record is from RNAcentral.